This 660-nucleotide ribosomal RNA is filed under the name Triticum aestivum (bread wheat). RNAcentral's name for it is "partial small subunit ribosomal RNA". Lineage: Eukaryota; Viridiplantae; Streptophyta; Magnoliopsida; Poales; Poaceae. The record is from RNAcentral.
AUGGUGUGUAAGAAGGAAUUCUCUAUCAGCAUCAAAGUCACUUCUUUGGAGGAUGGAAGGGAGUGGAUGGCUGCUUCUAUUUAUGGGCCACAGGAAAAUGAGGACAAAGUCAGAUUCCUGGAGGAGAUUGUGGAAAUUGGGGGGCAUGUUCAACUGCCAUGGAUCCUGAAUGGUGACUUCAAUCUGGUGUGUAAUGAAGAUGAGCGAAGUACAAGAAGAAUCAACAGAAGACUGUCAAAUAAAUUUAGACAUACGAUCAACACCUUGGGCCUGCAUGACAUGCCGCUGGUGGGGAGGAAAUUCACCUGGUGUAAUGAUCAGGAGCGCUCAGUAAUGGCAAGAUUGGAUAGGGUGUUGUUAAAUAGUGACUGGGAAGACACUUACCCCAUCAGUGACUUGAUACCGCUCAGUUCCAACAUAUCGGAUCAUUGCCCCCAUCUCCUGACCUGCUCUAGGGAUAUGCCAAGACAGCGUCGCUUUCGUUUCGAGAAUUUUUGGGUUAAGCUGCCGGGUUUUAUGGAAACGGUGAAGGCGGCCUGGGAGGAACAAGUCUCUAGUAAUGACCCCAUGAAGAUUUUCAGUGUGAAACUGCAGCGCACCGCGAAGGCUCUCAAAAGUUGGGGUCAAAGGAAACAGAGCCAUAUGACCACCCUUUUUUAG